CCUACGGGACGCAGCAGUAGGGAAUAUUGCACAAUGGGCGCAAGCCUGAUGCAGCCAUGCCGCGUGUAUGAAGAAGGCCUUCGGGUUGUAAAGUACUUUCAGCGGGGAGGAAGGCGAUAAGGUUAAUAACCUUGUCGAUUGACGUUACCCGCAGAAGAAGCACCGGCUAACUCCGUGCCAGCAGCCGCGGUAAUACGGAGGGUGCAAGCGUUAAUCGGAAUUACUGGGCGUAAAGCGCACGCAGGCGGUCUGUCAAGUCGGAUGUGAAAUCCCCGGGCUCAACCUGGGAACUGCAUUCGAAACUGGCAGGCUAGAGUCUUGCAGAGGGGGGUAGAAUUCCAGGUGUAGCGGUGAAAUGCGUAGAGAUCUGGAGGAAUACCGGUGGCGAAGGCGGCCCCUUGGACAAAGACUGACGCUCAGGUGCGAAAGCGUGGGGAGCAAACAGGAUUAGAUACCCCAGUAGUC
RNAcentral lists this ribosomal RNA (465 nucleotides) under uncultured bacterium. RNAcentral describes it as "bacterial SSU rRNA". It matches the Rfam family "Bacterial small subunit ribosomal RNA", at positions 338 to 795 of the family's 1533-position model. The record is from RNAcentral.